GUAAGUGUCAGGUGCUGUGCCAAAAUGUUUUCAAACAUCAUUUUACUUAAUGCUAACAACAAAAAUGAUACAAAUGCUGUCACUCCAUUUUAGUAGAUGUGAAUUUUGCUUGUGAACAUUAUACAAUUUGCUCAUGAUUGAACAGUUGUGUUGCUGGGAGUCAAUCCUGGUCUGACUCCAAAAGUUCUCCAACAGUGGUUGCCCCUGUCGCCGCUGCUCUAUUUCAAGCCUAAAUGACAGCAAUGCGUUGUCCCUGGCAAGUGGGAAAUGAGGACGAGGGGAUGAUGGCUGAGUUUCAUCCUGGGCUCCUUUGAGUUUGAGGAGCCUGUAGAACAUCUAGUUGGAAAUAUUCUUCAUAAACUGUUAGCAAUCCUAUCUGUUCCAUGUAAAUUACUUUUCUCCCUGUUGCUUAAGUAGGAUAUAUGUGAUCAUAAUGCAGAAUUUGCUUUGGUUCAUAAGCAGAUUUUCCCAGCACAUUAAUGUUUUCCCAGCACAAAGCAGCUGCCCCUGAACAUAGUGUGCAGGAACUCAGCUAAAUGAGUGCUAUACAUGAUGUUCACUCACGCCAGUGUGUUCAAGGCCGCAUGCUCUUCCUGAGAAGUGCGUCUCUCUCCCUUUUGUUUAUUUUGACGUGUUUCCAUAAUUUAGCAGACUCAACCCUUCUUAAACUACCGUAAAAUUACCUUUAUUGUUUUUAAAGCUAAAUCCUACAUUUUCUGGAAUAUUUCUCUCUCUAUUGGGAAUUUUAUAUCUCUUUUAAACUGCUAGCCAUUUUUAUUGGACUUGUGAUUGUUUUGUUAGUGCUCUGGUACAAGGUAACAGCUUUUAGUGGUUCACUCCAGCCAUAGUUUUCUCUUAAGACCUGUUAUAUUUAGUGCAUGAUUCUGCAGAAUAUGAAGUGUCUUUGGUCACACAUAUAUUGUGUUAUAGAAGAAACACUCGAAUGAAUUGGACACAUAAGAGAAAUGUCAAGAUUGAUACAUAAAUUUGGAAGAAAUCCCCAUAAAGGUGGAAGCUGAAGGAGUGGCAGUAAGCCCCUCAUGGAGAGAAUGAGAAGAGGAAAAGCUCGACCAUAGACUCUGGAGACAUUUGCAGGAGAGACAGAGGAAGAAAGGGUCAACGGGAGAGAACUGGUCCUUCUGAGCUCCUUUGUUGCUCGUAUUAUUUAUUCAACAAGUAUUUACUAGGCUUUGUUCUUAAAGGGGAGGAGAUUGUGAAAAUAGCCUAGUUUCUUCAUUUAUGCAGUUUUUUUUUUUUUUAAAGAUUGGCACCUGAGCUAACAACUGUUGCCAAUCUUCCUUUUUUUUUCCUUCUGCUUUUUCUCCCCAAAUCCCCCAAGUACAUAGUUGUAUACUUUAGUUGUGGGUCCUUCUAGUUGUUUAUGCAGUUUUAAAUUUUAAAAUAAGCAUAUAUUCUAUAAAUGCUAUCAUUAAAUCAGAUUGUCCUGAAUUUUUCACCAGUCCCAUGUGAAAUCCAUUCCCACCCAAAAGGGACCGGAAGCUCUGCCUUCAACUUCCUGUGGGAUCUGGAAGAGAAGCAUAGCUGGCUCCAAGUGGUCUUGAAUUUCCCUGGUUCCAAAGGCAGAAAUUGGGAUACUGUGCUCCCCUGAUUCAUUUUCCAGUCUGUACUUGCCAGGCGUAAACACCUUGAAGUCAGUCACCACUUCGUUGUCAAUUAGCCAAGAAACACAACAGAGCAGCAGAGCUGGUGGAUUCCGGGCCCCUCUUGGUUUUCUUGGUGAAGCAGAUCAUUAAAGCGAAUGUUCCAUGUCUGCAUCAAUCUGUCCAUAGAAGAUAGGUAAACAGAGCUGAUAAAAUGAACAAGCACAGUUUCAUGUCACCGAGCUCAUCGUGAGGUGGUUAUGCUUUGCCUACCAGGUGGCGUCAGUGAUGCCAACCGUGCACAGCCACAUGCUGAGAAAGGCUGAGAUUCCCCCGCUUCCUGAAAGCUAACAAGGGAGCCGCUCACAGUCUGAAGUAGUAGAAAUACAAGACUCACGGGUCAGAGACAAAGACUAAGCAAGAGCAGAAACAGAGUACUGGCAUUUGGACUGAUUGCUCCAGUCUCAGUUCCUACGAGGCAAUGAAAAGAGGACCAGCUGAGCUGCACGUCCACGGGAUGACAUCACAGGAGAAGAGUGAAAUGAGUUUAUCAAAAUCAAUUUUUUGAUGCCCAAAGGGAGUCACUGUCUCUGUCUUCAGAGGAUUUUCAUACUUGAAAAGAUAGUUGGGAAUAAAGGGAAACAGUUUCUCACUCAGAAAAUUUGAAGGGAAGAGACUCAUGGAGACUUGCCCCCAACUAUCGCUCCCUUGUUUCUAUCCCAACAUCGCGCCUUCUGAGGAACUUCCCUAUGAACUUACUGUCCUCGUAGACAGCGCUGUCCUCCACCUUUUCCCUCAGCGCACGCCAGUGAGCUCAACGGCCCUGGGCAUGUUGGCCACGACCUCUGAGAUAUCCGCCUCUGAGACAGACAUGCAGCUUGUGAAACACUUUCCUGCAACCACUUCCUGCAACAGAAGCAGGGGCGCAGCCCUCAGAGCAGCGUGCCAGCAGGGCCAGUGGUGGACCUGGCAUUCCUGGGGGAGGAGGCUGGGACUGGACCCCCGGAGGCCCUGCACCCCUGGAGGCCCAGCGGCCAUCUCGUUCCCUGUCCAAAUGGGACACUCAGUACCCUGUGCCUUCAGGCCAGGUGUGUCCCAGCUGGGCUACCGUCUCCCAAAAGAGUCUCAGGAACUCUCCGCAGUAGAACUCGUUUUGCUGCCUGAGCAUCCUCCGCUCUGUGAGAAAGUCCUGCUGGUUCAUCAUCAAAGGGCCACAAAUCUGACGUUUCACACCGCUGUAACCAACGUCUGCCUGCAACUGCCAUGCUCUCACCCCAGGGGCUUAGGGCAGCCACCUCCCUGCCUCUGCCUCUCCCAAAGUCUCCUCUCAGAAAGAAAAGAAUUAUUAUUUCCUAUGUUGCUCAUAAUAAUUAAUCUGAUCAACAAAGAAACUGGGACAAAAUCUGUUAAAUCUGUCUCAUGCAGCGUUAACUGCCCCUUCCACCAACGUGGCCACGGGCAGCAGGGGGAGACCCAGCUGCGCUGUUGACCUGUCAUGGCCCCAGGGUCAUGACCCAAUCACCUGAACAAAGCCUUAAACCCUCAGGGUUUCCUUAGAAAACCCAGUGUCUUCCUAUUUAAUUUCUGUCCUCAUCUUUCCACUUAGCCAGGGCCUUAAUCCAGAUACAGCAGGAUGUGUUCACGUUGGGGAAACACCACCUUGACGCACAAAGAGGUCUAGGCCAGUCCUGUCAUCAAAAACAACCCUGGGCAGAGUGUUGAGGCUGACCUGAAAGUCCUCCACAGCUGAAGUGGUGCCAUUGAUUGCAUCACCUAAAAUCAGGGAGAGUUUAUACCACACAUUCUAAUUGGGUAAUUCUCACAAUAGGGAUCACUUCCCAAAGGGCAUGUAAAUAGAACAAGUCAGCCUUUCUGGAUAGCAAGCUCCUCCUAGUAACCAAGGAUAGCUUCAGUCACCUGAGGGCCAGAGCCAGUAUUGCCUUCAAGUUAUCUGGUCUCUUAUGGUCUUGUAUGGCCAUCCCUAAGGCACCAGCCACCGUGUUCCAGGAGUGAGUCAAGUUAAUGCCUGGCUUCCACAGCCUGUCUGGUCGGUAUACUUUAGGGUUCUCAGUUCAGACCAAAUAAUUAAGUCCAGAAAAUGGAGUGGGCAGGAAAACAAAUAAAUAAAUAGAUACACAAAUCAAUUUCACUUUAGAGUGUCCUUGAUGAAGCAGCAAAGAUUUUAAAUUUCAUUAAACUUUGACCUUUAAUUGUGUCUUUUUAGUACUCUGUAUCAUGAAAUUGACAACACAGACAAAUCACUUCUGCUGCAUGUUAAACCCCAAAGGUUAUCUUGAAGAAAAGUAUUUGUGUGAUUGAAUCGUGAGCUCAAGUAGAUACUUUUUUCAUGAAAUGUCACUUUUUCCUGAAUGAAUGAGUGACAGAACCAUGGUUAUUUAGACUUGGGUAUUUGGCAGAUAUUUUCUUGCAAGUGAAUGAUACGCG
This 4046-nucleotide long non-coding RNA is filed under the name Equus caballus (horse). RNAcentral describes it as "lncRNA (ENSECAG00000053713.1)". The record is from RNAcentral. Lineage: Eukaryota; Metazoa; Chordata; Mammalia; Perissodactyla; Equidae.